Small nucleolar RNA from Chlorocebus sabaeus (green monkey), 134 nucleotides. Its record names the gene SNORA70. It matches the Rfam family "Small nucleolar RNA SNORA70". Rfam says of the family: snoRNA U70 seems to be exclusive to mammals and is a member of the H/ACA class of snoRNA which contain H (ANANNA) and ACA box motifs. H/ACA box snoRNAs are involved in the conversion of uridines to pseudouridines (5-ribosyluracil) a constituent of structural RNAs (transfer, ribosomal, small nuclear, and small nucleolar). Lineage: Eukaryota; Metazoa; Chordata; Mammalia; Primates; Cercopithecidae. The record is from Ensembl.
CUGCAGCCAAUUAAGCUGACUGAGUUCCUUUCCUCAUGGGGGCCCAGUGUGCAAUGGCUGCAAACAGCAGCUUCCCUGGUAGUGAUGCAGCCUGUUUGUUGUAUGGAUUGCUCUAAGGGACCUUGGAGACAGUC